GACGAACGCUGGCGGCGUGCUUAACACAUGCAAGUCGAACGGAAAGGCCCUGCUUUUGUGGGGUGCUCGAGUGGCGAACGGGUGAGUAACACGUGAGCAACCUGCCCUUGACUUUGGGAUAACUUCAGGAAACUGGGGCUAAUACCGGAUAGGAGCUCCUGCUGCAUGGGGGGGGUUGGAAAGUUUCGGCGGUUGGGGAUGGACUCGCGGCUUAUCAGCUUGUUGGUGGGGUAGUGGCUUACCAAGGCUUUGACGGGUAGCCGGCCUGAGAGGGUGACCGGCCACAUUGGGACUGAGAUACGGCCCAGACUCCUACGGGAGGCAGCAGUGGGGAAUAUUGCACAAUGGGCGGAAGCCUGAUGCAGCAACGCCGCGUGCGGGAUGACGGCCUUCGGGUUGUAAACCGCUUUCGCCUGUGACGAAGCGUGAGUGACGGUAAUGGGUAAAGAAGCACCGGCUAACUACGUG
This 468-nucleotide ribosomal RNA is filed under the name uncultured bacterium. RNAcentral describes it as "partial 16S ribosomal RNA". It matches the Rfam family "Bacterial small subunit ribosomal RNA", at positions 28 to 507 of the family's 1533-position model. The record is from RNAcentral.